GAUGAACGCUGGUGGCGUGCCUAACACAUGCAAGUCGAGCGAUUCUCUUCGGAGAAGAGCGGCGGACGGGUGAGUAACGCGUGGGUAACCUGCCCUGUACACACGGAUAACAUACCGAAAGGUAUGCUAAUACGAGAUAACAUGCUUUUAUCGCAUGGUAGAAGUAUCAAAGCUUUUGCGGUACAGGAUGGACCCGCGUCUGAUUAGCUAGUUGGUGAGGUAACGGCUCACCAAGGCGACGAUCAGUAGCCGACCUGUGAGGGUGAUCGGCCACAUUGGAACUGAGACACGGUCCAAACUCCUACGGGAGGCAGCAGUGGGGAAUAUUGCACAAUUGGCGAAAGCCUGAUGCAGCAACGCCGCGUGAGCGAUGAAGGCCUUCGGGUCGUAAAGCUCUGUCCUCAAGGAAGAUAAUGACGGUACUUGAGGAGGAAGCCCCGGCUAACUACGUG
Molecule: ribosomal RNA, 452 nt
Filed under: uncultured bacterium
Lineage: Bacteria
Description: partial 16S ribosomal RNA
Rfam family: Bacterial small subunit ribosomal RNA
Source: RNAcentral